CAUAUUCACUGUCCAAUCUUUUCUUUACAGGAUUGUGGUCUAGUAUUAUCAUCAGAAGCAGAGGGUCGUGGAUGUUAUCCGCUAGAUGACCAUGUGUUAUGCAAGAGUUGUAAUGCAAAAAGAGUUCAAGCACUCACCUCACAUAUGACAACUGAACUUUAGGUGAAGUCUUCUUGAGUAGUCAGCCUUGUCAGUAGACAGCAAUUACUGGUGUCUUGGAGACUGUCCGUGGCUCCAUCAUCAGUAUGUAUGUAUACAAAAAAGCAGCUGCAUCACUCUUCUAAUCCAUUCAUGAUGAUGGAGACAAAGAUGAUCUGUGAACUGCUGGAAAUUCACUCCAUACUGAAGAUAACUGAUUGUCCCAAAGGACUACAUCAUCUGUUGAAUGUGUAAUGGGGUUCAAAUAGUCUCAUUAUUUUGCCCAUGCAAGUUGUGUUUCUAGGAGAAACAUUUUUUGAACAUUAGUAGUUCUGUAGAAAGAAAUAGCGCUAAAUGAGGAUGUGAAAGAUGUUAAUCUUCCAUUGGAUCCUAAACUUGUGCUUAAUAUUAACUGGCAUUUUGUUAUAGUCAUUACCCAAGGGACUGCCUUGCUGCUUUUAAGCAAUUGCGUUUUAGACAAGAGAAUGCUCCAUUUUGCAGUUUCCAUUGCUCACACAAAGAGAAGGUUUGAUUUGCAUCUUGAACAUUAGUAGUAGGUUUUAUUCAGUUCCAGUACUUUAAUUUCUCCUGAGAACCAUGAGCCCCCAGGGGACUGUGAAUGUUGUGUUGUAGGUGGGAGGGAGGUCAUAAAUUGCUAAAUAAAUUUGGAACAUACAGUUUAAUAGGAAAAGUACUUCAUACAUACAAUUAAAGUCCACUGAUAGUUAUUUUUGAAAUUGUUAAAUCACGCUUCAAGUCAUUUUUGGAUUGGGUGUUUGACUUUAUUUACAUCAUUUAUUUACCUAAUUAUAGAGUAGCAUGGUUCCAUUUUCUUGUUUUCUUUCAAUUAUAGUAUUUACUUACACAAAUUUUGCAUACUUAGAAGGUGGUACAUGAUUACUUAUUUAUUUAGCAAUGCUACAUCAGCUGUUAAGGUUAUGAAUAAGAUAAGGAUAGAAAAUUAUGAUGAAUCAGGUGGUGUCUUACAUUUCAGGUUAUUAUGGUGAUUUUUAUGAAGAUGGUUCUGAGAUGUUGCACUGUGUAGUCUGGUAGAAGUUGACUGAUGUUUUGGAGAUGCUUACUGCCACCAUAAUCAGGGUGAUGAUGGAGGCAGUAAGCACGUCUGAAAUGUAAGCCAGUUUCUAACAAUACAUGGUGCAACAUCCCAGAAGACAGUCAUCUUCAGGAGGUAUGUUGGGGCUCCACUUCUGAUUCCAAUUCUACCACCAUUUUGGGUGUCUACCUUAAUUUGUUUCCCAUGGCCAAGCCAUUUACCAGUAUAAAUAUGCAAGUCCUCAAUAAUUUAUCAAUUUUUACUGUAUUCCUCAGUAUUCUUUAAGUACUUGGUUCAAACCUUAGUUGUCAUACUAGCUAUUUGAAAAAAAUUGGUAUUUUUUUCAGUCUUUCAGUUUAAACUAAGGGAUAAUACCAUGAAUAAGGCCAUGGUUACUGCUGCCCAUAUCUUUUACAUUUGACUACACAUAAUUAUUAUCUUGCCUUAUCUGAUACUGUAUAGCCUCUCUGCAGUCGAUACAGCAUCAUUAAGUAACCUAUGAACUAACCAACAUAAUUUAUAUUCAAUGUUUGUGCUGAGUUAUCCAGUUAUUAAAAUCUCCAUAGCAGCAGCUAGCAGACACAUAAAUUAUGCAAGAAAUAUGGUGCAAUUAACUGUUGUGAGAUAUGAGUAUGUAAUUUCUACCUGGGGUCAUUAAGAGAUUUGUAUAAAAAGUUAAUAGUCUUAUUAUUAUGUUAUAAUUUUAUUUACAAAUCUGAUAAUAUAUUCAAUUACUUGUUUAUAGUUAUAAUAAGUCUAUAUAUUGUAGAAAACUUGACUGCUUCUGUACUAUUAGGAAUAAACAUGUGAUAUACAUAUGACACGUGAUGAUAGAGUGAAUGAAGGUCAUGGUUGGAUGUAAUGUAUGUGUUUGGUGGUUUACUUGUAUUGAUUUAAGUAACAAAUACGGAACAAUAAGUCAUGUUACUUAAUUUCAUUGCUUGUCAUUUUUAUGAGAAAUUUGUUUUAUAAAUGGUGAUUUGUAGUCAGUUUUAUGUGCUCAAUGUUACAGUUUUUAAGAUGAAGAGGCUUGUCUUUAAGUUAGGAUUCUGUAGUUACAUGACAUGAAGCAGCUGAAGGCCUAUAACCAGCAUUUGUUCCCACUCUGAGUUACAAUCCAGACAAUAGUUGUUGGGGUUCACAGUAGGAAUUAGCACUCCAUUUUUGUAUUCCCAGCCUAGUUUUUUUUAUUGUUUUCAGUUCCUUCAGGUACCUGCUGUUAUUGUUCCUAAACUGUCUCCCAGCCUUAUUCAGACUUCCCACACGAUUUCACAAAAUAAUAGUCAUUUUUAUGUAUUUCAUAUUAACCCAUUGGCAGACAGGUUCCCCUCCUUUUUGGAUAACAUAAACUACUUUGACAGCUGUGAAAUGACAGAGGAUGAAAGUUAUAGCAGCUUAUUUAUUAGGCAGCAAAUGCAUACCUAUAUGGAAAUUUUGUGAUCAUUUUAAAGCAUAAUUUUAAAAUUUGUAAAUUAUCUUUAUAGAUAUUUUGAGAUCAGUUCAUAUAGCUAAGAGUCAUUAAAUAUAAAUUUGAAAUUAGA
This is a non-coding RNA of Zootermopsis nevadensis, 2733 nucleotides long. The record is from RefSeq and is a predicted model, not a curated record. NCBI's taxonomy places the organism in Eukaryota, Metazoa, Arthropoda, Insecta, Blattodea, Termopsidae.